Pteropus vampyrus (large flying fox) is the source of this 245-nucleotide unclassified non-coding RNA. Its record names the gene 7SK. It matches the Rfam family "7SK RNA". From Rfam's summary of the family: 7SK was discovered as an abundant small nuclear RNA in the mid-70s but a possible function has only recently been suggested. Two independent studies have found that 7SK RNA binds the CDK9/cyclin T complex (known as elongation factor P-TEFb). P-TEFb activates transcription by phosphorylating the C-terminal domain of RNA polymerase II. The record is from Ensembl. Lineage: Eukaryota; Metazoa; Chordata; Mammalia; Chiroptera; Pteropodidae.
GGGUGUGAGAGUGAUGUGGCUGCAAUAUCUGUCAUUCCAUUGAUUACCAGGUUGGCUUCAUUAGUUCUGGAUGGCUAGGCUAUGGCCUCCUUUCUUCUUUACUUCUCCACAUGCAUCCCUUCUCAAGCUGCGCGCUCUGUCAAAGAAAGCACGCUUCUCUAAUAGGGUACACCAUCUUUGGAGAAAAGUAUAUUUAUUGUCAGGGAAUAACCCAAUUUGAUUCAAGAGCUCCUAAACAAUCUCUU